UCCUGGUGCUCUUGGGCUGGUGUAUCUCUGCUCGGAACCGCGGCCGUGUCGUCCGCCUGCAGCCGGUCUCCAGGCUCCCGGCCAACCCCUGCUCGGGGCGCCGCCGCUGGGACGGCUCGGGCUCUGUCGCCGCCUCCUCUCUGGGCGCGCGUCCCGCCGCCCCGGAGAGUGUGCCGCUCGACCUGGGCCCGGGCCUCUGGCCGGGAAAGGACGGUCCCCGAAUGCAGGGAAAGCCGGGGAUCCUGGAAGUCGUGGCUAGAGUCAAGGGCAACCAGGCUGCUGGAAUUGGGUCGAGAGAGUUCAUUCACUAAACAAUCGGGAACUUGAACUAAGAAUUCCCAAAAUGGGAGAGGAGAUGGUGAAGAAACAAGUAAUUGCAAAGAAUUAUAAAAUUUUCUGCAAUGAUGAAAUUUUAACUGAAGCUGUAAUCUGAUUCAGUCACCUGGAAAAACAACUUUCAAAGCAGAUCCAGGAAGACUAUGGGAAAGCAGACCAUGCAGACCAUGAGCAGUGGGUUUCAGCUUUUGGAUUUCCACUACAAGUAAAAUCUGUCCUCCUCUAGUGGGAACAGAACAACUAAGGAGACACAGGUUUGCCAUCCUUUAAUUUGUUAAAUUAAAAACAUUAAGCACACCUUAAAACAAUUACCUGCUACUGUCACCAUUGUUUUAUAAAGGGAAGGAUUUAUUUCAACAUUAAAAGCCAAGAAAGGAAUACUAUUAUAAUAAAGGACAGUCUUUUAAAAUAAAUAAAAUUAACUUCAU
Molecule: long non-coding RNA, 764 nt
Organism: Herpailurus yagouaroundi (jaguarundi)
Lineage: Eukaryota; Metazoa; Chordata; Mammalia; Carnivora; Felidae
Exons: 3
Source: RefSeq, a predicted model, not a curated record